CAAUUGGGUCUCGCGCAACAGGAACCUCUGAACCGUGUCAGGUCGGGAACGGAGCAGCACUAAGGAGUCUCUCCUGUGUGCCGUGAGGGUGCCUGGUUCGAGC
RNAcentral lists this signal recognition particle RNA (103 nucleotides) under Anaerobutyricum hallii DSM 3353. Its description in RNAcentral is "[Eubacterium] hallii DSM 3353 Bacterial signal recognition particle RNA". It matches the Rfam family "Bacterial small signal recognition particle RNA". Rfam says of the family: The signal recognition particle (SRP) is a universally conserved ribonucleoprotein involved in the co-translational targeting of proteins to membranes. Archaeal SRP consists of a 7S RNA and homologues of the eukaryotic SRP19 and SRP54 proteins. The record is from RNAcentral. Lineage: Bacteria; Bacillati; Bacillota; Clostridia; Lachnospirales; Lachnospiraceae.